AGAGGAGCUUGCUCUUCUUGGAUGAGUUGCGAACGGGUGAGUAACGCGUAGGUAACCUGCCUUGUAGCGGGGGAUAACUAUUGGAAACGAUAGCUAAUACCGCAUAACAAUGGAUGACACAUGUCAUUUAUUUGAAAGGGGCAAUUGCUCCACUACAAGAUGGACCUGCGUUGUAUUAGCUAGUAGGUGAGGUAAUGGCUCACCUAGGCGACGAUACAUAGCCGACCUGAGAGGGUGAUCGGCCACACUGGGACUGAGACACGGCCCAGACUCCUACGGGAGGCAGCAGUAGGGAAUCUUCGGCAAUGGGGGCAACCCUGACCGAGCAACGCCGCGUGAGUGAAGAAGGUUUUCGGAUCGUAAAGCUCUGUUGUAAGUCAAGAACGGGUGUGAGAGUGGAAAGUUCACACUGUGACGGUAGCUUACCAGAAAGGGACGGCUAACUACGUGCCAGCAGCCGCGGUAAUACGUAGGUCCCGAGCGUUGUCCGGAUUUAUUGGGCGUAAAGCGAGCGCAGGCGGUUUGAUAAGUCUGAAGUUAAAGGCUGUGGCUCAACCAUAGUUCGCUUUGGAAACUGUCAAACUUGAGUGCAGAAGGGGAGAGUGGAAUUCCAUGUGUAGCGGUGAAAUGCGUAGAUAUAUGGAGGAACACCGGUGGCGAAAGCGGCUCUCUGGUCUGUAACUGACGCUGAGGCUCGAAAGCGUGGGGAGCGAACAGGAUUAGAUACCCUGGUAGUCCACGCCGUAAACGAUGAGUGCUAGGUGUUGGAUCCUUUCCGGGAUUCAGUGCCGCAGCUAACGCAUUAAGCACUCCGCCUGGGGAGUACGACCGCAAGGUUGAAACUCAAAGGAAUUGACGGGGGCCCGCACAAGCGGUGGAGCAUGUGGUUUAAUUCGAAGCAACGCGAAGAACCUUACCAGGUCUUGACAUCCCGAUGCUAUUUCUAGAGAUAGAAAGUUACUUCGGUACAUCGGUGACAGGUGGUGCAUGGUUGUCGUCAGCUCGUGUCGUGAGAUGUUGGGUUAAGUCCCGCAACGAGCGCAACCCCUAUUGUUAGUUGCCAUCAUUCAGUUGGGCACUCUAGCGAGACUGCCGGUAAUAAACCGGAGGAAGGUGGGGAUGACGUCAAAUCAUCAUGCCCCUUAUGACCUGGGCUACACACGUGCUACAAUGGUUGGUACAACGAGUUGCGAGUCGGUGACGGCGAGCUAAUCUCUUAAAGCCAAUCUCAGUUCGGAUUGUAGGCUGCAACUCGCCUACAUGAAGUCGGAAUCGCUAGUAAUCGCGGAUCAGCACGCCGCGGUGAAUACGUUCCCGGGCCUUGUACACACCGCCCGUCACACCACGAGAGUUUGUAACACCCGAAGUCGGUGAGGUAACCUUUGG
Molecule: ribosomal RNA, 1386 nt
Filed under: Streptococcus thermophilus
Lineage: Bacteria; Bacillati; Bacillota; Bacilli; Lactobacillales; Streptococcaceae
Description: bacterial SSU rRNA
Rfam family: Bacterial small subunit ribosomal RNA
Source: RNAcentral